Molecule: ribosomal RNA, 253 nt
Filed under: uncultured Hyphomicrobiales bacterium
Lineage: Bacteria; Pseudomonadati; Pseudomonadota; Alphaproteobacteria; Hyphomicrobiales
Description: uncultured Rhizobiales bacterium partial 16S ribosomal RNA
Rfam family: Bacterial small subunit ribosomal RNA
Source: RNAcentral
UACGAAGGGGGCUAGCGUUGUUCGGAAUUACUGGGCGUAAAGCGCACGUAGGCGGAUUAGCAAGUCAGGGGUGAAAUCCCGGGGCUCAACCUCGGAACUGCCUUUGAUACUGCUAGUCUAGAGUCCGGAAGAGGUGGGUGGAAUUCCUAGUGUAGAGGUGAAAUUCGCAGAUAUUAGGAAGAACACCAGUGGCGAAGGCGGCCCACUGGUCCGGAACUGACGCUGAGGUGCGAAAGCGUGGGGAGCAAACAGG